Molecule: ribosomal RNA, 253 nt
Filed under: uncultured bacterium
Lineage: Bacteria
Description: partial 16S ribosomal RNA
Rfam family: Bacterial small subunit ribosomal RNA
Source: RNAcentral
UACGGAGGGUGCAAGCGUUAUCCGGAUUCAUUGGGCGUAAAGGGUGCGUAGGUGGCGCCGUAAGUCGGGUGUGAAAUUUCGGAGCUUAACUCCGAAACUGCAUUCGAUACUGCGGUGCUUGAGGACUGGAGAGGAGACUGGAAUUCAUGGUGUAGCAGUGAAAUGCGUAGAGAUCAUGAGGAAGACCAGUGGCGAAGGCGGGUCUCUGGACAGUUCCUGACACUGAGGCACGAAGGCCAGGGGAGCAAACGGG